Molecule: ribosomal RNA, 301 nt
Filed under: uncultured bacterium
Lineage: Bacteria
Description: partial 16S ribosomal RNA
Rfam family: Bacterial small subunit ribosomal RNA
Source: RNAcentral
CAGCGCCACGGUAAUACGGAGGGUGCAAGCGUUAAUCGGAAUUACUGGGCGUAAAGCGCACGCAGGCGGUCUGACAAGUCAGAUGUGAAAUCCCCGGGCUUAACCUGGGAACUGCAUUUGAAACUGUCAGGCUGGAGUCUUGUAGAGGGGGGUAGAAUUCCAGGUGUAGCGGUGAAAUGCGUAGAGAUCUGGAGGAAUACCGGUGGCGAAGGCGGCCCCCUGGACAAAGACUGACGCUCAGGUGCGAAAGCGUGGGGAGCAAACAGGAUUAGAUACCCCAGUAGUCCCUGUCUCUUAUACA